Molecule: ribosomal RNA, 495 nt
Filed under: uncultured bacterium
Lineage: Bacteria
Description: partial 16S ribosomal RNA
Rfam family: Bacterial small subunit ribosomal RNA
Source: RNAcentral
GAUGAACGCUGGCGGCGUGCCUAAUACAUGCAAGUCGAGCGAACAGAUGAGGAGCUUGCUCCUCUGACGUUAGCGGCGGACGGGUGAGUAACACGUGGAUAACCUACCUAUAAGACUGGGAUAACUUCGGGAAACCGGAGCUAAUACCGGAUAAUAUAUUGAACCGCAUGGUUCAAUAGUGAGAGACGGUUUUGCUGUCACUUAUAGAUGGAUCCGCGCCGCAUUAGCUAGUUGGUAAGGUAACGGCUUACCAAGGCAACGAUGCGUAGCCGACCUGAGAGGGUGAUCGGCCACACUGGAACUGAGACACGGUCCAGACUCCUACGGGAGGCAGCAGUAGGGAAUCUUCCGCAAUGGGCGAAAGCCUGACGGAGCAACGCCGCGUGAGUGAUGAAGGUCUUCGGAUCGUAAAACUCUGUUAUUAGGGAAGAACAAAUGUGUAAGUAACUAUGCACGUCUUGACGGUACCUAAUCAGAAGGCCACGGCUAACUACG